GACAAACGCUGGCGGCGUGCCUAAAACAUGCAAGUCGAACGAGAAAGGGCUUCGGCCCCGGUACAGUGGCGCACGGGUGAGUAACACGUGGAUAAUCUUCCCUCGGGCGGGGGAUAACAUUCCGAAAGGAGUGCUAAUACCGCAUAAGACCACGUUCUCGAAAGGGAACGAGGUAAAAGCCGGCCUCUAUAUAUAAGCUGGCACCUGAGGAUGAGUCCG
This 219-nucleotide ribosomal RNA is filed under the name uncultured bacterium. RNAcentral's name for it is "partial 16S ribosomal RNA". It matches the Rfam family "Bacterial small subunit ribosomal RNA", at positions 28 to 233 of the family's 1533-position model. The record is from RNAcentral.